This 374-nucleotide ribosomal RNA is filed under the name uncultured eukaryote. RNAcentral's name for it is "partial 18S ribosomal RNA". It matches the Rfam family "Eukaryotic small subunit ribosomal RNA", at positions 592 to 975 of the family's 1831-position model. The record is from RNAcentral.
CAAUAGCGUAUAUUUAAGUUGUUGCAGUUAAAAAGCUCGUAGUUGGAUUUCGGUUAAGAGCGACCGGUCCGCCGUUUGGUGUGCACUGGUUGGUUUUAACUUCCUGUAGAGGACGUGCUCUGGGUUUAACGACCUGGACUCGGAGUCUACGUGGUUACUUUGAAAAAAUUAGAGUGUUCAAAGCGGGCUUACGCUUGAAUAUUUCAGCAUGGAAUAACACUAUAGGACUCCUGUCCUAUUUCGUUGGUCUCGGGACGGGAGUAAUGAUUAAGAGGAACAGUUGGGGGCAUUCGUAUUUCAUUGUCAGAGGUGAAAUUCUUGGAUUUAUGAAAGACGAACUUCUGCGAAAGCAUUUGCCAAGGAUGGUUUCAUUA